GUUUUUGUAAACAAGCGCGCGCGGGCCAGCCUCUGCCCGCGCGAACACGAACGCUAAAUUUGGAUUUUUAUUCCCUGAAUUUCAGUGCCGCUCCGACCUCUCUCCCCUCACACCUCCUCUCUCUCUGCGCUUUUUCCUCAGGUCUCUCGCCCCUGGUUUGUCCGCGCGCCUUGACGACCUCGCGGAGGACGGACGAAGGGCAGGUGGACCGAGGCGCGCGCGCGCGCAGUGAUUCAGCCGGUGGUGGGGUGCAUUUCCCAGACUUUACACCGCACCACCUUCAGAACCACAGCCUUUGAUGUGGCCCAGAUUUCCAUCCGUCAGAGUUCUUGGUGGAGGGAAGGUCUGGAGCUCUCUGCUGCUGCUGAAGGCGUUUGGACAUCAUGAAGUGAAGGCCCGUGUGCUGGAAAAGCAAAGGCUCUCUGGCUCAGAGUGGAGAGGAAGGCGCUUGGAUGUUUCCUCCUCCUUGGGAGGAAGCUGGAGCUCCCCGGCCAAACCCGCCGGCGCUGGUUUCCCCUGAGGGCGGUGCACGCCGCCCGGGCCAUGAGCAGAGAUGUGAGCGGACCUCCAGCACCGCCAUGCUGCAAACUGGAUCCUCUCUGCACUGAAGCAGUGAUUUCCUCUUCCCAGAUGGAGAUGAGGAGAGGCGGCAUGGCGGUCUGACUGUCAGCUCAAAGACCUUCAAGAUUUUAUUUUCCCCCUUUACUCCUCUUUCUUUUCCUUACUUCCUCUCACUCUUUUUCCCACAGAUCUGUUUGCUUAAAAGAUGUCCUCUGCUCAUUUUCGUUUGUUUGCUUUGUACCUUAAUCCCCCAGAUUUAGUGUAAUCAUAAAUAUUACCUCAAGUUUGUCACACAAAUUCAAAAGUGUGGUUUCUAUGGCAACCAUCAGCCAGCAGCUGACCUGUCUGUCAUGUUCGUGUCAGAUAACACAGUCCUACACAUUUGUCUUUUUUACUUUUAAAUUUUUGAAUGCUCAAAAAAAAGGAAUUGAAAGUUUAAAAAAAACUCUGUGUGUGUGUGUGUGUGUGUGUGUUUGUGGUCCUCCUGAAGGGGGCGCCAGAAACACUCUGCUCAGCUGAAGGACUCUGUGUGUGCGUCAUCAUGGUUUUUAAGGCUCACACCUGCUUGUGAUUGUUUUGCAGGGACUUUUAUCUAAAUGUAAUUGAGUUCAAACAAGUCUUUUGUUUGAGGAGCUGCUCUGGAGUGGAUCUGCGGCGCCGGCAUCAAGUUUUAAGUCAAACUUGUCAGAUGGCAGCGUGGAAAUUAAAGGUAAACACGGCGGCGACUGACGUCCAACUUUAAGUGCAGAUUCACAAAUCCAGAAGAGAUCAUGUUUGUAUUUACUCCAAGUUUAAAUGUUUCUCUUUUUCAAACGUAGCUGAGAUCUUAUUGUUCCACCGUUCACAUUUGGAACUUUUAUUAAAGAUCCCAUCCGAUAAAAA
Long non-coding RNA from Oryzias latipes (Japanese medaka), 1443 nucleotides. RefSeq lists it as uncharacterized. The record is from RefSeq and is a predicted model, not a curated record. Lineage: Eukaryota; Metazoa; Chordata; Actinopteri; Beloniformes; Adrianichthyidae.